UUGAAUUGUAAUUUAAUAGAAAGCCAUGCAGUCUCUCAGUGCUUUCCAUUGUGUGAUUAACAUUCUGUAAGGAAUUCCCUUGUGUUUGUCACACAGAAAGCAAAGUUUAGACUUCUGUUCUUCCUUGCGAAAAGAAGGGAAAGAGUAAACAAAGGAAAUCAAUUAUAAAUGUUCCAUUAAUAAGGAUGAAGAUAGAAUAUAUCUGUCACUGGGAAAAACCCUGGCUUGAUUCCCAAGGGACUGGUUGCCUCUCAACAGUUUUGGCUUAGCAAAGGCGUUGGAGCAGGCUAUUCUUGGUCACAUAAAGAGAGGCAGAGCUGGCAGCUCACACACUGUGCAGACUUGAAAUCUCUGCAGUGUGCUCCCUAGCUGGGUCCAGAUGCACUGAUUCUCCAGGCACAGUGAAGGACAUAUUUAUUUGAUCAAGCUUUUGGAGAAAGCUAACACUUUGACAUUCUAUCUUAUCUCUCUCCUAUUUGCCUGGGAAAGCUAUCUGGCCCCACAAAGUACUCUGGAGAAAAAGGAAAAUUAUUGGAUGGUUUCUUCCUGGAAGAAUAGAUGGAACAGAAAUUGAUGGAGUCUGGUAUCACUAAUUUGUAAGUAACAAAAAUACCAACUUUUACAGAAUUCACUGAACUUAAAGCUGGUUCUAUUCAUUUAAAUUGGUACCUAGUACUUGUCACAUUAU
RNAcentral lists this long non-coding RNA (688 nucleotides) under Taeniopygia guttata (zebra finch). RNAcentral's name for it is "lncRNA (ENSTGUG00000029389.1)". Lineage: Eukaryota; Metazoa; Chordata; Aves; Passeriformes; Estrildidae. The record is from RNAcentral.